RNAcentral lists this long non-coding RNA (646 nucleotides) under Apteryx rowi (Okarito brown kiwi). Its description in RNAcentral is "lncRNA (ENSARWG00000015535.1)". Lineage: Eukaryota; Metazoa; Chordata; Aves; Apterygiformes; Apterygidae. The record is from RNAcentral.
AUGCACGGCUUGCGCCGGCGGUGUGGACAAAAGCAGACGCGUGCUGUGCCACCACCUGAAGAGCAGGUUAYUGUGUUAAUUUUCACGUUCGCUUUGAUACUCUUGGCUUGCAUGGAAGGUGCCUGUCGAUGCACUCACUGCUGCCCGUGCAUACACAAGACCAUGACCACUGCCCUGGAGAAGCAUCUUGCGUUCAGAAGGACACACGACCGUGCACGGAAGACUCAUUCGUUCCUGCUCGCAGUGAAAAUAUCCAGCCUCCCUGAGACGUCUCGAUGGGUGGCUCCGAGCAUUUCGCGACAUGUGCGGGGCGAUCGCUGCUCUCCGCGUGCUUACYGGAGGUCGUGACCGAGAGCAUCCGAUCUGCCUCGCGCGAGGCCUUUCUCGGGGAAAAGAACAAUGGAAAAUUCCCUUCCUUUCUGCAGCAAAACCGAGCUCUUGCCACGCGAUUGCUCAUUAGCAGCAGACACUAAUUCCCUUUAUAUUUGUCCACAUUCGGCGUAGCUUUAUAAAAAGUCAGUGCCUGAUAGACUAAAUCAUUGAAAUGAAGACAGGGAGCCAAAUUUAGCCUCCAUUUACUGCCCUCAGGAGAGAUGACCAGAAUGUCAUUAAUAAAGUAAACAGCAGUAGGUGGCUUAUGAGUAAA